RNAcentral lists this ribosomal RNA (588 nucleotides) under uncultured Comamonadaceae bacterium. RNAcentral's name for it is "bacterial SSU rRNA". It matches the Rfam family "Bacterial small subunit ribosomal RNA", at positions 335 to 916 of the family's 1533-position model. Lineage: Bacteria; Pseudomonadati; Pseudomonadota; Betaproteobacteria; Burkholderiales; Comamonadaceae. The record is from RNAcentral.
ACUCCUACGGGAGGCAGCAGUGGGGAAUUUUGGACAAUGGGGGCAACCCUGAUCCAGCUAUGCCGCGUGCGGGAAGAAGGCCUUCGGGUUGUAAACCGCUUUUAGUCGGGAAGAAAAGGGCGAGGCUAAUACCUUCGUCACUUGACGGUACCGGCGGAAUAAGCACCGGCUAACUACGUGCCAGCAGCCGCGGUAAUACGUAGGGUGCGAGCGUUAAUCGGAAUUACUGGGCGUAAAGCGUGCGCAGGCGGUUGUGCAAGACAGAUGUGAAAUCCCCGGGCUCAACCUGGGAAUUGCAUUUGUGACUGURCGGCUAGAGUGUGUCAGAGGGGGGUAGAAUUCCACGUGUAGCAGUGAAAUGCGUAGAGAUGUGGAGGAAUACCGAUGGCGAAGGCAGCCCCCUGGGAUAACACUGACGCUCAUGCACGAAAGCGUGGGGAGCAAACAGGAUUAGAUACCCUGGUAGUCCACGCCCUAAACGAUGUCUACUAGUUGUCGGGUCUUUAUUGACUUGGUAACGCAGCUMACGCGUGAAGUAGACCGCCUGGGGAGUACGGUCGCAAGAUUAARACUCAAAGGAAUUGACGG